AAGCAGUUUAUCCUUUCAAUGUGCAAACAAGGCAUCUCUUCCAAGCAGAUGUAUUAGCGAGUCACCACAGCAGGUGCAGCCCAGGGAUGCUCACACCCAGCAUCAGAAAAGUCUGACCCGGGGGAAAAGGAAGGUCCUGCUGCCUGGCAGAGCACAGAGGAAGGCCUGUGGCUCUGUAAUUCUGUUCUUCACUCACUGUGCAGUGUGCAGUUAAUGAGAUACUGCUGCCAGUUUCUCUUCUUGUGCUGUCCUAAGGCUGCUUCUGCUGCUCUUCCCUCAGCACCCACGUGCUGCACGCGCCUGUGCAUUCCCACAGCUCUCCCUUGGUAAGUCUGGAGCCAGCAGGAGGCUGUUCCUACAGACUUUGGGAAGGCAGAGGUGCAGGAUCUGCUAUCUGCACAUCUGCAAUCAUACCCUUCAUUCCAUUCAAGGGUAUGUCAGCCUUAAGUUACAGAGCUCUGCAAGAUGUUUCCUUGUCCUCCUCUACUUCCACCUGACACAGGAAUGCUGCUAUCACCACCUGGUUGCCUGGUAAUUCCUUUAAUAAGACCGUGUUUCCAAUUGCUAAGAUUCUUACUGAGCUUCAAGCACCAGGCUCUGUGGCCCCAGUGAGCAACUAGGGAAGAUUUCUUCUGUCACAGUUUGGACACGUAAUGGGAAAUGGUAGCAGAUCUCUGACAGUCUUACAGUUUGAAGCAGGGAAUUGAAAAUUAGGUGGUAGGGAGGACUUCAAAUUUAUUGAAGUGGUGUGCUUUAUGAAUUGUAUGAGGAAUCUUCCAAACGCCCUGAAAAUUUGAACGUUGAAGCUACCUAGGUGAGAUUGGAUGAAACUGAACUGCAAUUUCCCAAGAAUUUGAGGUUUUUAAGGGCCACAUUAAGAGAAGAGAUAGAUUUUAGCACCUUAUCACCACCUUCAGUGCUGUAUGGCUGGACCUGAAAGCAAAAAGGCUGUCCUCCUCAUCUCUCGGAGACUUCCCUGCUUAUCCUAUCCUACUCCAAGGCAAAAGAUAAAACCUGGCUUCAGCAACACCUGCAAUGAAGGAAGGACAAAGAGGCUGAGGACCGAGCCGUCACUGAGACAAGAGCAUGAGAGCUGGCGGGCAAAAAUCUGUGACAGCGAGCCCAGGAGCUGCAGGGUGUGGGCUGGGGGGUUGUUGAUCACACAUGGGCUGAAGGAGGCAGGUGGCAAAUGGCUGAGGAGACGAGGACUGAAUCUGGCCGGAGGAGAAGGACGUUGAUCGGUGGUCGGGAAGAAAAGACAGUGCGAGGCUGGAGCGAGUGCGUGCCUCAGCCCUUCGCUGCUCUGCGCCGGGCCGGGCAGCGCCGGGCGCUUAUCGCUCGGCCACACGCGUCCUGCACGUGACGGGCCCGUGUCCCCCGCCAGAUAACGCGCGUGGUGACACCAGGUACCACGGAAUGAAAGCUGUCCCGCAUUGACCCUUUUCUCUCGCUUGAACACCUGGCAAUUGCACCUCCCAGCCUGCGCUACGUGCACGUUACCAUCAAGGCCUCAUUAUACCAAACACCGGGACAGACCAGAGGCAUUCUCUGUUUCCCUCAGCCGCCUGUGCGCCACUCUCCCUCAAACCCGUCCCGCAGGCAAACUGCUGCUGUUUCCAUGCGUGUCCCUGCAGUGGCAGCUGUCGCUGUGCCGAGCAGUGCCCCAGCACAGCCUCCUGGGCAGGUUCUGUUCAGCCCUCAGAGAAGGGCGCGUCGCGCCCGCCAGGCGGGGCAGAGCGGCGGCCGCGCUCGGUGCUGCCUCACGCGGCCCCGGCCACGCAGGGGCAGCCCGCUCCCCUCAAGGGCAGGUGCGGCUGACAAACGGAGCCCGCGGCGCCGCCGCUGCCCACCCGCCGUGCCCCUCGGCCUGAGGGGAAGGCAGAGCCGGGGCCAGCCCCGCGGGCCCGGCCUGGAAAACCUUUGGAAAGGCCGGGAGUGAAGGGCACGGGCAGCGCGAGGCCGGAGCUGGGGCAGGUUUUGCCAUUUGAGGCCUUUUCCAUGAGCUACUCUACUUUCUUGAAACUGGAGGGCAAGAGCAGCAUGGCCAGCAUCAGCUCAGGCCUGGCACUGCAGGGACUUCGCUUGAAUAGUGAACAGAGCACAAAACAGGACUUGGAAACUAUUGCAACUCUGAAAACAAAGAGACACUUUGGCAUGAAUGUGUCUGAGAAAAGACUAAGACUUCAUUUCAAGCACUGUUUCUGCUUCAUCACCUGAAUACCUUUAUUUCUGCAAACAGUCCAUAGACAAUUACAGUGUAGAAGACCAUGUGACAGUACUAGUGCUGUACUUCUGCUAUCAACAGAGGAAAAAAAAACCCACUUACUAUCCAGGGGAAAAUGUUCUUUAGCUGCUUAAUCUGGAAGACUUCUCCAGCUGCCAGUGCAUGGAGUGAAAGAAGUGCUGUGUGCUUUGGCAGGAGGCCCAGUGCUGCAGAACUACCAGCCAGAGUUUUCUCACCUCUUACAAGGAUGACAGCACCAAACUGAGCACUCUGG
This is a long non-coding RNA of Pyrgilauda ruficollis (rufous-necked snowfinch), 2498 nucleotides long. RefSeq lists it as uncharacterized. The transcript is spliced from 5 exons. NCBI's taxonomy places the organism in Eukaryota, Metazoa, Chordata, Aves, Passeriformes, Passeridae. The record is from RefSeq and is a predicted model, not a curated record.